This 275-nucleotide unclassified non-coding RNA is filed under the name uncultured fungus. RNAcentral's name for it is "sequence contains ITS2". The stretch from base 1 to 52 matches the Rfam family "5.8S ribosomal RNA", at positions 103 to 154 of the family's 154-position model. Lineage: Eukaryota; Fungi. The record is from RNAcentral.
AACGCACAUUGCGCCCUUUGGUAUUCCGAAGGGCAUGCCUGUUCGAGCGUCAUUAUCACCCCUCAAGCCCUGCGCUUGGUGUUGGACGGUUUGGUUGGUCACUCGACCCCUCCUAAAGACAAUGACGGCGGCCUGUGGAGCCCCCGGUACACUGAGCUUUCACGAGCACGUACCGGAUAAGGGUGCCCGGGACCCGGUCUUCUCUCGCCUUUAACGGUGGGAAACUUUUCUCAAGUUUUGACCUCGGAUCAGGUAGGGAUACGCGCUGAACUUAA